UGAAUGGGUGAGACUCCCCUGGUGUCCCAGUGCCAGGGAUGGCAGUGGAGCUUUGGGAGCAGCCUGUCCUAUGAGCUCCUGCCAGUCUGUGCAGCUCCCAGUCCAGGGGCCACUUGGUGGGCGAGGGGAGAAGGGAAGUUGCCCAGUUGGGGGGCAGAGAAGUUCAUUGGUGAAGGGAUGCAUUGCAACUCAUGGUUCUAGGAUGGACAUACUAAGAAGGAUUCUAAGGAGAAAGUUCCGCAGGUGGCCCUGGAGCCAGAGUGAGGCAGCUGUCAGUGGCCACAGUCAGACAGUGGCCCUUAAGUCCCUGCUGGGAGGAAGCAGCUCCCAGCCAGUCCAGGAGGUGGACAUUCCCGACCUUCGUCACCAGAAGGAGACCAGCUCCCAGAGCAAGUGCUGAGGUGGGAGAGGCGGCAUCCAGGCUGAGAUGGAGGUGGUCCAAGACAAGUUGCAGUUGGCCAAGCAGGAACCAGUGCAUGAUGGGAGCUGGGUAAUGCAUCUCUGAGGCUUCUCUUGCUGGAAGGACAGCCCCAGGAACCCCGCCCUGUGGGCCAGCAUUACUCUGCCCACUACCUGGAGACCUCUCCAGGUAGGAGAUGGGGAAAUCCCGGCCCCAGCAGUGGCACCAGCAGCUCAGCUUGCUCCCAAGGGGAUAGCAGCAGCUCCCUGGAGCUUGGAGGCUGAGUGCUCCUCUGCUGCAGGUGAGGAGAUCCCUGAGCAUGGGGAGGAGUAAAGGGCUGUUCACAUGUGCCCCAUGGCACUGUUCAAAUUCCUGGGGGGAUCCCAGCCCAGAGGUCUCACGUGAGCCAUGUGAGCCCAAUGAUGCCAGCAGGAAUUGCACAGCUGCCCCAUACAGCAGGUAUGGGGGGGAGCUGCUGGGAAGUGGGUCCCUGAUGCUCUGGGGGUGGGCACCUACCAGGGAGGCUGGGACAGUGCUGGGCCUUCUCUUCCAUGGAAGCCUGGGGCUCUGUUGGAGGGGCACUGUGGGGCUUUUUCUGCCAUGGGCCUUUAUGUGGGAGGGGGGAACAUUUUAACCCUUCUCUCUCUGCUAUGCCUCUGUCCUUCCCUUUUGUCCCCUAGCAGCAGCAGGCAUCACCCUCUCCCCUUCUCUCUCGGAUGCAGUGACCCCCAGUGACCAGUUGCAGCAGGAGGAGGAGACAGAUCUGACCACGGAGGAAGCUGCCUGGAAGGUUGUCAUGGAGCAUUUCCAGGGUGGAGGCAAGGGCUCAGGGUGUGGCUGAGCAGAUCCAGUUCCUGCGUGCCAUCCCCCAACUCAAUGUAUUUCACUGCACAGAAGAGUGGGCAGGACUCUCUGGAGCCACCUUGCUCCAAAGCAGCCCUGGCGGAGAGGAUCGCAGAGCUGACUUAAGAGCUGCCCUUGGACUCUGCGCUCAGCUCCAUCCUCUUCAGCUCCAUGGUCGCCGUGUGCAACCUCAGGCUCUGCACAAGACCUUGGCAGAGAACCUGGAUAUAAUGCUGAGAAGCCUGCUGGCAGUGUCCCACAAUACUGACAAGCUCCAGCACAUCUUAGAGGGGGACGGGCCUGGGCAUGAAGGGAAUUCUGCCUGAACCCAUUGAGGCUACAAAGGAGAGACUGGAAGUUCCACGUUUUCAUGGUAUCCCCUUAGCUGGGACCCCACGGAGCUACCUUGGCCAGGGCAGUCAGUGACAUGCAGUGUUAUCGUCCUCCUGUGGGGAACGGAGAGAAGGAGCUGGGCUGUCAAGGUUGGGUCUAUGUGAAGGGGAGCGCCUCCUUUUGGCUGGAUGUAGUAUAGCCAUUCACAGCGUAUCAGACUGAGUUGGGGCAUGAGAGCCUCAAAUCCCUGUGAGAUCCAGGGAGUGGUCCUGAGAGGAGAGUCAUUGGCUCCUCAUGGGGUCCUUGGGGAAUCAGCCCUUCUCUCCCAUGGACACUGAGACUCUGGAAGGAUUGUCCACACUGUUACUACCUCCAUCCCUCCAAGCACCCGCCAAGCACUUCAGAGCUGGGAGGGGGCCAGGGGUCUUUCUCUUUCCUGACAAGCUGUCCUUGAGUCAGGGGACCAGAGAGAGUGGCACCAGCCCCGAGAGUGAACAUUGUCUGAGUCUACAGACAAUGAUGAGCUGUGACCAGCAGGACACAGGCAGUGUCCUGGGUGCUGCAAACCCCUUGUAAAGCUCUAAGAUCAGUGAGUCCCCCCUGAACACAGUCUCAGCCCCAUGAGGACUCAUUUGUACAGAAUGUGCGCCUACCCUUUGACCAUGACCUGCCUCCUUCCUCCACAGCACAUUGGCUUCUGGGUAUGGUCCAGAGAUACCCAGGAGAGUCAGGGCCAUGAGGACCAGCACCACCUUCCUGCGAUACACCAACCUACUCCCAGGAUUUGACAUAAGUGACCUUUGACCCCCAGGCUCUUGACCCCAGGUGUAGGCAGUGUUGGCUCCAACAGGCUAUGGGAUCUGCAGGGGCUGUGGGCUGGGCCGGGCCCUGCGGGGAUGCAGUCAGAGCUGGGAAUCAGAUACACUUGAGACAAGCUCCUCUUCUCCUGGCUAAGUGGUGCCCCCUGGGUCUGUAGAGGACUGUGCUCCACCGAAGAGUACCCAGUAGUCACCUACUACAGGACAGGCCCAACAACGAAAGUAACAGAACUCCACUAGCCGUCACCUUCAGCCCCCAACUAAA
This is a long non-coding RNA of Trachemys scripta elegans, 2659 nucleotides long. RefSeq lists it as uncharacterized. The record is from RefSeq and is a predicted model, not a curated record. NCBI's taxonomy places the organism in Eukaryota, Metazoa, Chordata, Testudines, Emydidae. The transcript has 4 exons.